Molecule: ribosomal RNA, 930 nt
Filed under: uncultured bacterium
Lineage: Bacteria
Description: bacterial SSU rRNA
Rfam family: Bacterial small subunit ribosomal RNA
Source: RNAcentral
ACGCUGGCGGCGUGCUUAACACAUGCAAGUCGAACGAUGAAGCCUAGCUUGCUAGGUGGAUUAGUGGCGAACGGGUGAGUAAUACGUGAGUAACCUACCUUUAACUCUGGGAUAAGCCUGGGAAACUGGGUCUAAUACCGGAUACGACCAAUCUCCGCAUGGAGUGUUGGUGGAAAGCGUUAUGUAGUGGUUAUAGAUGGGCUCACGGCCUAUCAGCUUGUUGGUGAGGUAACGGCUCACCAAGGCGACGACGGGUAGCCGGCCUGAGAGGGUGACCGGCCACACUGGGACUGAGACACGGCCCAGACUCCUACGGGAGGCAGCAGUGGGGAAUAUUGCACAAUGGGCGCAAGCCUGAUGCAGCGACGCCGCGUGAGGGAUGACGGCCUUCGGGUUGUAAACCUCUGUUAGCAGGGAAGAAGAGAAAUUGACGGUACCUGCAGAGAAAGCGCCGGCUAACUACGUGCCAGCAGCCGCGGUAAUACGUAGGGCGCGAGCGUUGUCCGGAAUUAUUGGGCGUAAAGAGCUUGUAGGCGGUUUGUCGCGUCUGCUGUGAAAGGCCGGGGCUUAACCCCGUGUAUUGCAGUGGGUACGGGCAGACUAGAGUGCAGUAGGGGAGACUGGAACUCCUGGUGUAGCGGUGGAAUGCGCAGAUAUCAGGAAGAACACCGAUGGCGAAGGCAGGUCUCUGGGCUGUAACUGACGCUGAGAAGCGAAAGCAUGGGGAGCGAACAGGAUUAGAUACCCUGGUAGUCCAUGCCGUAAACGUUGGGCACUAGGUGUGGGGGACAUUCCACGUUUUCCGCGCCGUAGCUAACGCAUUAAGUGCCCCGCCUGGGGAGUACGGCCGCAAGGCUAAAACUCAAAGAAAUUGACGGGGGCCCGCACAAGCGGCGGAGCAUGCGGAUUAAUUCGAUGCAACGCGAAGAA